This 450-nucleotide ribosomal RNA is filed under the name uncultured bacterium. RNAcentral describes it as "bacterial SSU rRNA". It matches the Rfam family "Bacterial small subunit ribosomal RNA", at positions 355 to 825 of the family's 1533-position model. The record is from RNAcentral.
UCAAGAAACUUCCACAAUGGGCGAAAGCCUGAUGGAGCGACGUCGCGUGAUGGACGAAGUGCUUCGGCACGUAAACAUCUUUUAUGUGGGAUGAAAUUAUUGACAGUACCACAUGAAUAAGGGGCUCCUAACUCUGUGCCAGCAGGAGCGGUAAUACAGAGGCCCCAAGCGUUAUCCGGAAUCACUGGGCGUAAAGGGUGUCGAGGCGGUUGUAUUAGUCGUUCGUAAAAUCUACGAGCUUAACUUGUAGGCGGCGAACGAAACGGUACGACUUGAGGUUUGGAGAGGUGCGUGGAACUCACGGUGUAGGGGUGAAAUCCGUUGAUAUCGUGGGGAACACCAAAGGCGAAGGCAGCGCACUGGCCAAAAUCUGACGCUCACACACGAAAGCUAGGGUAGCGAAGAGGAUUGGAUACCCAAGUAGUCCCUGAGCGGGCUGGCAAGGCGCAU